CGUAGGUGGCGAGCGUUGUCCGGAAUUAUUGGGCGUAAAGGGAGCGCAGGCGGGAAGGUAAGUCUAUCUUAAAAGUGCGGGGCUCAACCCCGUGAGGGGAUGGAAACUAUCUUUCUUGAGUGCAGGAGAGGAAAGCGGAAUUCCUAGUGUAGCGGUGAAAUGCGUAGAUAUUAGGAGGAACACCAGUGGCGAAGGCGGCUUUCUGGACUGUAACUGACGCUGAGGCUCGAAAGCGUGGGGAGCGAACAGGAUUAGAUACC
RNAcentral lists this ribosomal RNA (260 nucleotides) under uncultured bacterium. RNAcentral's name for it is "partial 16S ribosomal RNA". It matches the Rfam family "Bacterial small subunit ribosomal RNA", at positions 526 to 786 of the family's 1533-position model. The record is from RNAcentral.